GCCCUAAGGGACAGCAGAGCUCUCUCCCGUGGGCUCUGCUUGCGCUUCUCGUUCCGGUGGCGUACCGGCGUCGAUGGGAGAGCGCUCAGUGAUCGAUUUAUUGCCUGCUGGAUUGAUCUCUGCCUGCCGAUCCAGUGGGCAGUGUAAACAGGCCCUUGGCUCAUAGUCAGGUCGACACCAGCGUAGAUGCAGAAGGAUUCUUCUGUCAACCUAGCGUCCACCUCUCAGAGAAAUGAAGUGCAUCAACAGAAAGCCCCCUUCUUUUGAUGUAGGAAGCAUCUACACCGCAGCGCUACAGUGGCAUAGCUGAAAGGCCAUAACUGCACUCUUGUAGUGUAGACACACCCUGAGUUACAUGGGGUUUACUCUAACUGAGCAGGUUUCUUCCUCAGGCCGGUUAGCUGAGCCACACAGGGAAGAGUUAGGUUAAAAUGUGCUUUGCAAACUGGCCUUGGCCACCUGCCACUUUCCAGUGAUGAGAGCAGAUUUCGAAGAAGAGUUUCAAACGAGCAUCAGCAUCAGCCCAUGCUGGCAGCAACCAGGAGACAUCGGCUAAGAUGGUCGU
Molecule: long non-coding RNA, 565 nt
Organism: Dermochelys coriacea (leatherback sea turtle)
Lineage: Eukaryota; Metazoa; Chordata; Testudines; Dermochelyidae
Exons: 2
Source: RefSeq, a predicted model, not a curated record